This 1022-nucleotide ribosomal RNA is filed under the name Dehalococcoidia bacterium. Its description in RNAcentral is "partial 23S ribosomal RNA". It matches the Rfam family "Bacterial large subunit ribosomal RNA", at positions 1 to 971 of the family's 2925-position model. The record is from RNAcentral. Lineage: Bacteria; Bacillati; Chloroflexota; Dehalococcoidia.
AGUCAAGGGAAAAAGGGCGUAGGGUGGAUGCCUUGGCAUCAGUGGCCGAAGAAGGGCGCGGCAAGACUGCGAAAAGCCUCAGUGAGCUGUCUAGCUAGCUUAGCUGGGGAUUCCCGAAUGGGGCAACCCGCUUGGGUGAAACCCAAGCACUCGCUUUAAGCGAGGGGGAACCGGGUGAACUGAAACAUCUAAGUAACCCGAGGAAAAGAAAUCAAAAGAGAUUCCCUGAGUAGUGGCGAACGAAAGGGGAGGAGCCCAAACCAAGGUAGCUGAGUGGGCUUGGAUCCUAAGCUAUCUCGGUGUUGUAAGGCGCAAGGAGCAGAUUCCAAGGUCUGCUACAGAGUUACAAAACUUCAUCUUAGCCAAAUGCUUCUGGAAAGGGCAACUAUAGAAGGUGAGAGUCCUGUAGGCGAAAAGAGUGAAGUCUCUGCUUGUGUUCUUGAGUACCACGGGACACGUGGAAUCCUGUGGGAAGCUGGGGGGACCACCCUCCAAGGCUAAAUACUGCUGAUGACCGAUAGUGAACCAGUACCGUGAGGGAAAGGUGAAAAGCACCCCGGGAGGGGAGUGAAAUAGAAUCUGAAACCCUGUGCUUACAAGCCGUCAGAGGUUUGCUUCGGCGAACUGAUGGCGUGCCUAUUGAAGAAUGAACCGACGAGUUGAUUUAUGUGGCUAGGUUAAGCAACUUAGUUGCGGAGCCGAAGCGAAAGCAAGUCUGAAUAGGGCGCAGCUCAGCUUAGCUGAGCAGGUCGCAUGGAUCAGACCCGAAACCGAGUGAUCUACCCAUGGCCAGAGUGAAGCUCAAGUAAAAUUGAGUGGAGGCUCGAACUUGUGAGUGAGGCAAAACUCUAGGAUGAGCUGUGGGUAGUGCAGGUGAAAUGCCAAUCGAACUCGGAGAUAGCUGGUUCUCCCCGAAAUGCAUUUAGGUGCAGCCUCAGGAAGUAAUUUAUGGAGGUAGAGCUCUGGAUGGGCUUGGGACCGUGAGGUUACCGUGUUCAACCAAACUGCAAAUGCCAUAAAUG